UGAGAUGGCUUGGAAAAGUGUCCCAAUCAAUCUGAAUUCACCCUACUCUUUGAAAUCUUGAUUGCAUUACAAUAUGUUGUUUUAAACUCCA
Sinocyclocheilus anshuiensis is the source of this 91-nucleotide long non-coding RNA. RefSeq lists it as uncharacterized. NCBI's taxonomy places the organism in Eukaryota, Metazoa, Chordata, Actinopteri, Cypriniformes, Cyprinidae. The transcript has 3 exons. The record is from RefSeq and is a predicted model, not a curated record.